RNAcentral lists this unclassified non-coding RNA (190 nucleotides) under uncultured fungus. RNAcentral's name for it is "sequence contains ITS1". Lineage: Eukaryota; Fungi. The record is from RNAcentral.
UUAGGCAUUUAAAUUUUCGCUCAGACAACAAAUAUAUUGAUGGUAAAAACCUUUGGCGGGCGCUCACUAGCAUUGCCAGCGGCAUUAAGACGGCCCGCCAAAGCAACAGAUAUCAAUUAUCACAGGGUGGAGGAGUCUCCGUGAGGAGCGCAACUCGGUAAUGAUCCUCUCGCAGGUUCACCUACGAGAA